CAGGGAUUGCCCUAGUAACGGCGAGUGAAGCGGCAACAGCUCAAAUUUGAAAUCUGGCUUCGGCCCGAGUUGUAAUUUGUAGAGGAAGCUUUAGGCGCGGCACCUUCUGAGUCCCCUGGAACGGGGCGCCAUAGAGGGUGAGAGCCCCGUAUAGUUGGAUGCCUAGCCUGUGUAAAGCUCCUUCGACGAGUCGAGUAGUUUGGGAAUGCUGCUCAAAAUGGGAGGUAAAUUUCUUCUAAAGCUAAAUACCGGCCAGAGACCGAUAGCGCACAAGUAGAGUGAUCGAAAGAUGAAAAGCACUUUGAAAAGAGGGUUAAAUAGCACGUGAAAUUGUUGAAAGGGAAGCGCUUGUGACCAGACUUGCGCCGGGCUGAUCAUCCGGUGUUCUCACCGGUGCACUCUGCCCGGCUCAGGCCAGCAUCGGUUCUCGCGGGGGGAUAAAGGCCCAGGGAAUGUAGCUCCUCCGGGAGUGUUAUAGCCCGGGGCGCAAUGCCCUCGCGGGGACCGAGGUUCGCGCUCUGCAAGGAUGCUGGCGUAAUGGUCAUCAGCGACCCGUCUUGAAACACGGACCAAGGAGUCAAGGUUUUGCGCGAGUGUUUGGGUGUAAAACCCGCACGCGUAAUGAAAGUGAACGUAGGUGAGAGCUUCGGCGCAUCAUCGACCGAUCCUGAUGUUUUCGGAUGGAUUUGAGUAAGAGCGUUAAGCCUUGGACCCGAAAGAUGGUGAACUAUGCUUGGAUAGGGUGAAGCCAGAGGAAACUCUGGUGGAGGCUCGCAGCGGUUCUGACGUGCAAAUCGAUCGUCAAAUCUGAGCAUGGGGGCGAAAGACUAAUCGAACCAUCUAGUAGCUGGUUACCGCC
This 859-nucleotide ribosomal RNA is filed under the name Amesomyces atrobrunneus. RNAcentral's name for it is "LSU rRNA". It matches the Rfam family "Eukaryotic large subunit ribosomal RNA", at positions 69 to 962 of the family's 3401-position model. The record is from RNAcentral. Lineage: Eukaryota; Fungi; Ascomycota; Sordariomycetes; Sordariales; Chaetomiaceae.